RNAcentral lists this long non-coding RNA (650 nucleotides) under Ricinus communis (castor bean). RNAcentral describes it as "long non-coding RNA (RCOM_LNC003074)". Lineage: Eukaryota; Viridiplantae; Streptophyta; Magnoliopsida; Malpighiales; Euphorbiaceae. The record is from RNAcentral.
CUUUUUAUUCUUGCAUGUUUGGGUGGUUUGUGAAGAAUUUAAAAUCUAGGGAGAAUUUGGCACUUGCAUAUAAUUGUAGGAUGCAAUACAUGUUGCAACACAUUAAAUAUAAGGGGUAAUUACAAUUUGCUCUUGUAUUUUUCCAUAUUAUAUUAAUUAUCCUCUAAUACUUAAAGAAUAUUUUUGAAAAUUUUUUAUUUUAUGAAUUUUUACUAAAAAUUAAUUCUAUCAGAAUUUCUGUUAAACAAUUGUUAACUUGGUUAUACUAUUUGCUCUUGAUCUUUAGUGUGAUAUAUAAAUUUUUUUUUAUAAUUUAUUUAUUAUACUAGAAUUCUUUAGUCUAAUUUAUGUGGAAAAAUUAAUUUUAAUAUUUGUACAAAAAUAAUCAACUAGUAUUCUUCAAUUAUUUUAAUUUUAAUAUAUAUGUACUCAAUCUCUGCAUGAAUAUAUGAAAAAAAAGGAGAUCCAUCUUCUAUACAAGUUGUCAUGGUAUCGGAGCCUAUCACUCCUCGACAGACUUAUCUACCUUUUGUUUAACAACUGUGAAAGAUUCAGAAACCUCAUAUAUCCUUCUGGAGAAUAACAAUCCAACCCUACUCUCACUAAAUUAACUACCACAAUAACUGAAAUAUUGAACAGACAAAGCAACU